UGAAGUGGGAUUUGGCGAAUU
This 21-nucleotide microRNA is filed under the name Fragaria vesca subsp. vesca. Its description in RNAcentral is "fve-miR11288e". Lineage: Eukaryota; Viridiplantae; Streptophyta; Magnoliopsida; Rosales; Rosaceae. The record is from miRBase by way of RNAcentral.